GACGAACGCUGGCGGCGCGCCUAACACAUGCAAGUCGAACGGAGUCAAGAGGAGCUUGCUUUUCUUGACUUAGUGGCGAACGGGUGAGUAACGCGUGAGUAACCUGCCCUGGAGUGGGGGACAACAGUUGGAAACGACUGCUAAUACCGCAUAAGCCCACGGAUCUGCAUGGAUCUGCGGGAAAAGGAUUUAUUCGCUCUAGGGUGGACUCGCGUCCAAUUAGCUAGUUGGUGAGGUAACGGCCCACCAAGGCGACGAUUGGUAGCCGGACUGAGAGGUUGAACGGCCACAUUGGGACUGAGACACGGCCCAGACUCCUACGGGAGGCAGCAGUGGGGGAUAGUGCACAAUGGGGGAAACCCUGAUGCAGCGACGCCGCGUGGAGGAAGAAGGUUUUCGGAUUGUAAACUCCUGUCGUUAGGGACGAUAAUGACGGUACCUAACAAGAAAGCACCAGCUAACUACGUG
This 468-nucleotide ribosomal RNA is filed under the name uncultured bacterium. Its description in RNAcentral is "partial 16S ribosomal RNA". It matches the Rfam family "Bacterial small subunit ribosomal RNA", at positions 28 to 507 of the family's 1533-position model. The record is from RNAcentral.